CUUUUCUGUAAAAUAUUCACGUUUUUGUGCUAUGAUAUUUCAUACAUUAAAUUACACCUUGCAUAUCCACACUUGGUUCAGAACUAACAUCACACCACCAAACACUUCUGACAUUAUCUUUACAGGGAAGAUUUUCUAAUGGCUGGUGUUGAGGCGCUGAUGACCUAGAUUUGGAUCCUUUUGAAGAAAGUUUCAAAUCCAUGGAUCUAGCUUCGGAUGCAGUCCAAAUUGAUGAGGACCAAGCAAACAACUUACUCAACAGUGUGCUGGGAUCCUAAAGGGAAUUUCCAUCCUACUUGUGUGGCUGAAGGACAUCAUCAACCAAUUUUGGUACAUUUGCCAGAAAGCACAACAUCGUGAUAUGUUUAAUGACAUGUGGGUGGGUGUGCUUCACCAUGUCACAGGGAAGCAUGAAUGGACCCGUGGCAAAUGUGACCAUGGACCACUUGAUGCAACGACCAGUGAUGAAGAGCUCAUGGUACCAUGAUCUCCACCACACGAGGCUCUUCAACGAAUCAUGUUCAACAGACGCUGGUUGAAGGAUGUCACCAAUCUGACCUUUAGGUAUAUUAAUAACAUUUUCAAAAGCAAAAAAGCUAAAGUGUCAAUAUCAAAGCUGACAAUUUACAUAUAGAAAUGACAAUUGUGGGUGAAAAGGCAAUCAAAAGUGUGAUUCCUAAUAAUCUAUAAAGUUGUAGCUUUUGUUUUUUUUACAGGUCAACUUCAGAACUGGAGUUUCCAGAAUUGCAUUCUCAUGUAAUCUAUGUAUGAUCUAAUGCUGCUGUUCUCCUCUCUCCAUAAAGGCCCCAGCUACGUGAAGCAUCAAAAGACAGGAAUGACUUCUUUCAUGCACACAGAUUUAUUAGAAAUUAAGAAAAAAUUCUAUGUACAAAUGCAAAUAACAGAACUUUUUUGUACAUAAAUAAAUAUAUUGCACAAACUGUUUAUUUUUGGGUGAAAAUGCUGUCUUCAGCUAAAGUUAUUUUGAGGUAUUGUGCCGUUUUGGAACUAUUGUAGUUGUAGAUAAACGGUUUGGAUUUUUGGGUUAGGGUGCCCUCAGUCAGGAAGACUGUGUCCUGGCGUCUCUUGCCGAAACUCCAGGAUAUCCAGCAUCACCUCUGGAAGACGGGUCACCACUCUCUCGAGAAUAUAAUCUCUCUCCUCCUGGCUCAGGUGUUGUAAAGCUGUCUAGAAAUUAAAGAGCAUAUGUUUACAUGACUAGA
Long non-coding RNA from Nothobranchius furzeri (turquoise killifish), 1223 nucleotides. RefSeq lists it as uncharacterized. The record is from RefSeq and is a predicted model, not a curated record. NCBI's taxonomy places the organism in Eukaryota, Metazoa, Chordata, Actinopteri, Cyprinodontiformes, Nothobranchiidae.